This 240-nucleotide ribosomal RNA is filed under the name Triticum aestivum (bread wheat). RNAcentral describes it as "partial small subunit ribosomal RNA". The record is from RNAcentral. Lineage: Eukaryota; Viridiplantae; Streptophyta; Magnoliopsida; Poales; Poaceae.
AUGAAUUUCUUGGCCUGGAACUGUCGGGGACUGGGGUUGGACCCGACGGUUGGCGAGCUCCGAGACCUGAUACGGUCAUACAACCCAGCGGUGGUGUUUCUGAGUGAGACAAAGAAGAGGGCAAGGGCUAUGGAGAAGGUUCAAUGGAGUUUGGGGUUUCAGAAUGGUAUAGCAGUAGAUUGUGUGGGGAGAAGUGGGGGGCUAGCUCUAUGGUGGAGAGACAAUGUCAGUGUAACUUUG